ACGGAGGAUCCAAGCGUUAUCCGGAAUUACUCGGCGUAAAGAGUUGCGUAGGUGGCAUUGUAAGUCGGUAGUGAAAGCGUGGGGCUCAACCCCAUACACAUUAUCGAAACUGCAAAGCUAGAGGAUGAGAGAGGUUAUUGGAAUUCCCAGUGUAGGAGUGAAAUCCGUAGAUAUUGGGAGGAACACCGAUGGCGUAGGCAGAUAACUGGCUCAUUCCUGACACUAAGGCACGAAAGCGUGGGGAGCAAACGGGA
RNAcentral lists this ribosomal RNA (254 nucleotides) under uncultured prokaryote. Its description in RNAcentral is "partial 16S ribosomal RNA". It matches the Rfam family "Bacterial small subunit ribosomal RNA", at positions 525 to 777 of the family's 1533-position model. The record is from RNAcentral.